AGCAGCAGCCGCGGGAAUACGUAGGGUGCGAGCGUUAAUCGGAAUUACUGGGCGUAAAGCGUGCGCAGGCGGUUGUGUAAGACAGGUGUGAAAUCCCCGGGCUUAACCUGGGAACUGCGCUUGUGACUGCACAGCUAGAGUAUGGCAGAGGGGGGUGGAAUUCCACGUGUAGCAGUGAAAUGCGUAGAGAUGUGGAGGAACACCGAUGGCGAAGGCAGCCCCCUGGGCCAAUACUGACGCUCAUGCACGAAAGCGUGGGGGGCAAACAGGAUUAGAUACCCCCGUAGUCCCUGUCUCUUAUAA
This 303-nucleotide ribosomal RNA is filed under the name uncultured bacterium. RNAcentral's name for it is "partial 16S ribosomal RNA". It matches the Rfam family "Bacterial small subunit ribosomal RNA", at positions 507 to 809 of the family's 1533-position model. The record is from RNAcentral.